RNAcentral lists this ribosomal RNA (609 nucleotides) under Salvelinus fontinalis (brook trout). RNAcentral's name for it is "partial large subunit ribosomal RNA". It matches the Rfam family "Bacterial large subunit ribosomal RNA", at positions 1808 to 2620 of the family's 2925-position model. The record is from RNAcentral. Lineage: Eukaryota; Metazoa; Chordata; Actinopteri; Salmoniformes; Salmonidae.
CAAAAACAUCGCCUCUUGCAAAUCAAAGCAUAAGAGGUCCCGCCUGCCCUGUGACUAUGGGUUUAACGGCCGCGGUAUUUUGACCGUGCGAAGGUAGCGCAAUCACUUGUCUUUUAAAUGAAGACCUGUAUGAAUGGCAUCACGAGGGCUUAGCUGUCUCCUCUCCCAAGUCAAUGAAAUUGAUCUGUCCGUGCAGAAGCGGGCAUAAGUACAUAAGACGAGAAGACCCUAUGGAGCUUUAGACACCAGGCAGAUCACGUCAAGUAACCUUAAAUUAAUAAGUGGAAACGCAGUGACCCCUAGCCCAUAUGUCUUUGGUUGGGGCGACCGCGGGGGAAAAUAAAGCCCCCAUGUGGACUGGGGGCACUGCCCCCACAGCCGAGAGCUACAGCUCUAAGCACCAGAAUUUCUGACCAAAAAUGAUCCGGCGAACGCCGAUCAACGGACCGAGUUACCCUAGGGAUAACAGCGCAAUCCUCUCCCAGAGUCCCUAUCGACGAGGGGGUUUACGACCUCGAUGUUGGAUCAGGACAUCCUAAUGGUGCAGCCGCUAUUAAGGGUUCGUUUGUUCAACGAUUAAAGUCCUACGUGAUCUGAGUUCAGACCGGA